UUAGGUGACUAAUGCGGUGGGGUUCCACCUCUUCCCAUUCCGAACAGAGAAGUUAAGACCGUCAGCGCCGAUUGUACUGUCCGCCAGCGUUCGACUGAGCUCACGCCGAACGCUGGCGGAUGGGAGAGUAAGUCGUCGCUUCCG
This 144-nucleotide ribosomal RNA is filed under the name Bacteroidota bacterium. Lineage: Bacteria; Pseudomonadati; Bacteroidota. The record is from RNAcentral.